This 766-nucleotide ribosomal RNA is filed under the name Haloarcula sp. BAB-2991. Its description in RNAcentral is "bacterial SSU rRNA". It matches the Rfam family "Archaeal small subunit ribosomal RNA", at positions 1 to 763 of the family's 1478-position model. The record is from RNAcentral. Lineage: Archaea; Methanobacteriati; Methanobacteriota; Halobacteria; Halobacteriales; Haloarculaceae.
UUUUCCGGUUUGAUCCUGCCGGAGGCCAUUGCUAUCGGAGUCCGAUUUAGCCAUGCUAGUCGCACGAGUUAGACUCGUGGCAUAUAGCUCAGUAACACGUGGCCAAACUACCCUACAGACCGCAAUAACCUCGGGAAACUGAGGCCAAUAGCGGAUAUAACUCUCAUGCUGGAGUGCAGAGAGUUAGAAACGUUCCGGCGCUGUAGGAUGUGGCUGCGGCCGAUUAGGUAGAUGGUGGGGUAACGGCCCACCAUGCCGAUAAUCGGUACAGGUUGUGAGAGCAAGAGCCUGGAGACGGUAUUUUGAGACAAGAUACCGGGCCCUACGGGGCGCAGCAGGCGCGAAACCUUUACACUGCACGACAGUGCGAUAGGGGGACUCCGAGUGUGAGGGCAUAUAGCCCUCGCUUUUCUGUACCGUAAGGUGGUACAAGAAUAAGGACUGGGCAAGACCAGGUGCCCGCCGCCGCGGUAAUACCGGCAGUCCAAGUGAUGGCCGAUAUUAUUGGGCCUAAAGCGUCCGUAGCCUGCUGUGUAAGUCCAUUGGGAAAUCGACCAGCUCAACUGGUCGACGUCCGGUGGAAACUACACAGCUUGGGGCCGAGAGACUCAACGGGUACGUCCGGGGUAGGAGUGAAAUCCUAUAAUCCUGGACGGACCACCAAUGGGGAAACCACGUUGAGAGACCGGACCCGACAGAGAAGGGACGAAAGCCAGGGUCUCGAACCGGAUUAGAUACCCGGGUAGUCCUGGCCUGUAAACAAUGC